AUAUACAUCUAAUCCUGCUUGAUUCAGCAUCUUCCAGUCUGUUAUUAGACAGAGAUAAAUGUGAGAGUGCCCAGAAGCAGUAUGCAUAAAGCAGAGAAUGAAGGACAUAGAAGCAGGUACUCAAUUUAAGUGCCAUCAGUGGUGCCAUAUUUAGUAUUUUUGCUUCGUUCAUGCAAAAGAAUAGUGAUAAUUCAUAAAAAUCUUUGAUUGUUUGGUGUAUAACAGAUCCAUGUUAACAAUGUUACUUGUGGUAGCAAAACAGUUUACAUGCAAUAAAGUACCAAUUAGAUUACAAAGUUUAAUUGAAAGGAGGGAGAGAAAUUCUGGGUCAUAAUUAUCUGGUUACACAGAGGUAUUUACUAUGUAAAUAUCUACAUUUCAGCUUAUCGUUUAGAUUUCAUAGGUUAUGCAAACAGGUUUUUCUUGGGCAAAUCCAACUUGUCUAGAUGAAGAAAUUUAAAAUAUAGCAGGUAAACAAUGCUGUAGAGAUGCCUCCUUUUCUAGAAUCAUAGAAUGGUUUGGGUUGGAAGGAACGUUAAAAUCAUCCAGUUCCAAUGCCCUUGCUAUGGGCAGAGGCACCUUCCACUAGACCAUAUUGCUCAAAGCCACAUCCAGCCUGGUCUUGAACACCUCUGGGGUUGGGACAUUCACAACAUCCCUGUUCCAUAUCCCACCAUCCUCACAUUCUAGCAUCUAGUCUAAACCUACCUUCUUUCAGUUUAAAACCGUUCCCCCUUGUCCUGUCACUACCUUGUAAAAGAACCCCCUUCUUCUGUCUUGUAGCCUCUUUAUGUACUUGGAACCUGCUAUAAGGUCUCCCUGUAGUGUUCUCUUCUCAGGCUGAGAACCCCAGCUCUCACAUCCUGUAUUCAUUGAGAAGUGUGUCAGCCCUCUGAUCAUCUUCAUGGCCUCCUGCACCAUGAACUUGCUCCAAAGUCCAUGUCCUUCUCAUGCUGAGGGGCCUCAGAGCUGGAUGUGGUACUCCAGCUGAGGUCUCAGGAAAGUGCCAUAGAGGGGGAGAAUCACUCUCUCUGCCUGCUGUCCAUGAUUCUUUCAGUGCAGACCAGGAUACAGUUGGCUGGGAGUGUACAUUGUCAGAUCAUAUAUACAUAGAUGUUGGAGAUGUCUUUAUAUAUAUAUAUAAACAGAUAUAUACUUUUGUAAGAUAAUUAUGGCCACAUUAUUCAAAGAAGAGUGAUGUGCUCUUAAAAUCAAAUUGGUUUAUUCCAAACUUAUUCAAAUGAAAUAAACAUGGAAACUAGUUUUGAUAGUCCUCAAGGAUCUUCACUUGUCACUUCCCAAUGCAAUGUGUGGUUUUACCAUUUUAUUUUCUUUUUCAUCCCACUGCAAUUAGUGCUAAGUUUAGCAUUAAGGGAGAGAAAAGUCUUCACUCUGACGGGGUUUAAAAGAGUACAAGAGCCAGCUAAAAGCUGGGGCUUAGUGCAUACCCUGUGCUAUGGAAAGCACUUGCCUGUGUCUGAAGUGAGGUGCAUGAGGGAGUGCACUGGAUCCCUUUUCAGUUCUAAGAAACCACAAUUAACUGAGAAUUUUUUUCAUGGUGCAGUAUCAUGUACUGUACCAGAAGGCAUGUUAAGAGAGUGCCCCUAACCUCUGCCUUAAGAGGUGGUGAACAGUUAAGGGAAAAGGACAGACAUUAAAACUUGCAGAAUUCCCCACUACUCAGCAAACCUUUUCUAACCUGACUUAUGAAAAAGCGACUGACCAUCUAAAUCAUCAAAAGAAUUCCCUUGAUUUCUAACUCAGCAGUUGCAGAACAACUAUUAACUACACCUCUGGGAAACUUCAGGUUUAUUGAUGCAUGCUUGAUGUGAAAUUUAAGUCCAGUUUGUGCUACAUGUCCAGAAUAUUGAAUGACUGAUAUGCUCUGCAAAAAAAUCUUCACGACCAAAGUUUAAUUCUUAGGUGAAGGCUGUUUUGAAAGACAGAGGUUUGCUUUUUGGCAUGAUCAGACAGAAUCAAGAGUAACAUCUUUUCCAUUAGGGGCCUGAAACCAACUCUGAGUAAAAUGCAUUGUUGCACUUUCUCAUACCUUCUUUUGAUGACUGUAAGCAAAAAAUGGAAGAAAGAGUUUGGGAAGAAUGGAAAGUCUUUUUUUUGUAGUGCAGUCUUGGACCCUCAAGUGAUAUGCCAUGAUAUCUAAAUAUUAAAUAAACAGAGAUUCAUAUACAUUAAAAAGAGCUAUAGAUUUUAUGUUUCCUUUGAGUUUCAGGCCAGUGUAAUACUUUGAGAAUUAGGCAUUAUUUUAAUGGCACGGAUUCCUAAGGGAAAGUCAGUCCCUAACCUCUAUUAAAAAGCAUGCUCAUUAAAUGCUCUCCUAUAUUCAGAGAAGGAUGAAUUUAUGGUUUGUGUGCCAUGUGUCAUCCCAACCUCAAGUGCUAACCAAUGUCUAGCACUGGUAAGGUUAUUCUCCCCACCAAAGAUAGGCUUAUACAUUAACAACGUGACAGAAAGGUAACUAUUUAGCAAGACAAAUGAUCCCUCUUUAAUAUGCAUCAUACAGAGGCAAAGCCAAUAAAAAGGACUGAAAAAGAGCAGAUAUCAAACCUAGUAUUUGGAAGAAUGUUAACAAAAAAAUGUCUCUGAUUUCCUCAGUUUUGUAACACUCAUAAACAUGGAGGAGCCUAUGCUCAUACUAAAACAUUAGGAUCUGGGAAGACUAAAAUGUCACGGCCUCCCUCUGAUGAAGCACUAGGAAAAAAAUUGAUAUGAAAAACACACCUGGAUGCCAAAACAGUGACAGUGCUGAUCCACACAUUUUUGGCCUAAAUUGGGAUGUACUAUUUUAGCUACAGAUAUAUUCUCUUAGGACUAUUUCAUGGUUUUUCACUCCCUUCAGAAAAAACAAAGACACAGGGACUCACAGUGGAACAUAUAAACAUCAUAAAGUUCAAUAGCACAGAGCUCUAGCUUUCCUGUAACAGAAAUUGACUAAUCUCUUGCCUAACCUCUCCUUUCUUUGGUUAACUAGCUUAAAAAAGUAUAAGAGAGAAAGAAACAAGUAAUAGACAUUGACUUGUUUCACAGCAGAAGAGAGUACGCAAGCCUGUCACCAUAUUCCUUAUUCCUGAAAAUUCAAUUUGAUGAAAUGCAUCACAUGUUGGCACAAGCAAUAUAUGAACAUUAUCAUUCUUCAGCUCAUACUAAAAUUGGAACAGUUGUGACUGGUGUAUUGGCUUUUUUCUGUCAAUUGAGAAAAUAGGACUUGAGUUGAAACAGAUGACACUGAUGAGUGUUGCUAUGGGCACAUUUGACAAUAAGCAUGUUAUAAUGGCUCCAGUUCUUGAAUGCUGUCAGUAGCAUUUAAAGUUACAGGAGUUUGCUGAUCUAUUGGAGUAGCAAACAAGCAUUUCUGAAUUUUCUCACCAGCAGAGUGAAAAUAAAAACCUUAAGAAUCACUUUUACUGGUAUUUAGAUGACCCCAGGGCCAGUUUUUAAGAUGAUAAUGCAUGGAAAAUAUCAUGUUUAGUGAAAAGCGAAAGCUGUUGUAAUGCAAGAGCUUCAGCACACUGAGCUAAUGAUGUACAGUGAGAGAGGAAAAGAAAAAAGAGAUCACAGUUAGUAUUUUACAGUAUGGGGCAGUGUUUUUCUGUCCAAGUAAUGAACAUAUUUUAUAAGUCUGGCAAAAUCAGGAUAAGGUUGUUCUGGUCAUGUCUGGCUAUUGCAUGUCUCGCAUGAUUAUGAUAAUCUGAAAUUACAUAAUGACAUUUUUUCUGGGGUCUGAGGCUUCAUUGUCAUGAAGUGUUUGAUGUGUUUGAUGUGACCUGUUCACUGUGCACAGGUCAAAAGAAAUGCUGAAAAUCUGCUUAGUAAAGUUGUUGCACGUACCACAUCUUCAAAAAAAAGUUAGUGGGUUUUGGUACUUGGGUUGCAAAUGUGGAAAAAUUAAGUUUCCUCAGGAAAUAUAGAAUUUUCUUCUGUGUGACUGGCCAUUGUUUCAAGAUGUAUCUAUGUGCUAAAACACUAUGUUUUUUAGCUAAUCCUUCGCUGAAGAAAGGUUUUUUAGUGAGUUUCUAAUUAAAUACUAGUUCCCUUGCAGACUCCAAGAAGAGCAACUAUCUUGAGCCAAUGCCAAAAUAGAAAGGAUAUGGAGAUAUCAGAAGGUGUGUUCCUGAGUUGUUUUCUGGUCAUUGUCUCUAUUACUUUAUUGAUGCAUGAACUUUUAAUAUAAAAGCAACAUCAACAGAGAUAAAAAGGUGAUUUUCAGCUGAUGUACAACCACUUGGCAAAAAGGAUCUAUGAAAAAGCAAUAAUUAUUUAAAUUGGAGGUAAUGCUGGAGUGUUUGCGAACAUGACAUCCAUGUUAGUAGAAUAUUUACAAAAGACAAUAAUGCUUUUUUAGUAAAGUACAUCUGCUGACAGGAAGACAGAGCACCUUUCUAUGUUUUAUCAGGUCAUAGCUUCUCAUGUGUCUGUGUUAAUAUAGCAAGUAGAUCAAUGCAAGUAUAUCAAUGCAAGUAGAUCAAUGUACAAAUCAUUGUACAGUUGGGUUUUUUUCCUCUCAAAAAAAGAUGCAAAGUAAUUAGAAUAACAUGUUUUUUGAGCUUUACUGCAAAUUUCUUGUUUGAUAAUGAUAAUGAUGAUUAUUAAAUUAAAUAUAGUAGUUCCCAGAUGUGGUCCCUGAAACUAGAACUCAUGCGCCAGACAUUGCAAAAAAAAAGAAACAUACAACAAAAAGUAAAGGCAGUUUGCAGAAGGAGGCUGUAUGAAACUUCACAUUCUCAACUGGAACUUCAAUUGGACACUUUCUUAUUUUACAUGCCUGGUGACAUCAAAUUAAAGGUGGGCUCAGUAGCAUGUCCUAAGAAAAUCAGUGUCUUGCAGAAUUUCAUUAAAAGUCAAAAAAUGCAUCAGGGUUAUAAAAACUAUACUGUUCUUUAACACUGCAUAAAUCUGGGUGGGUAAAUAGUAUUUUUACCUGGACUACUGAAUGACUCACAAAAAUUCUCAUAAAUUAUAAUUGUAUCAUUGUGUUAAAGUCUGUAUGCUUAUGUUUGAACAGGAAGAUUAGGGUAAAGCAAAUAAUCCCACUCUUGCUAUUUCUAACCUUGUGAGUGCUUGUUUUGUUUAUUUAAUAUCUUCUGUAUAUGUUUGAAAGAAUUCUCUAGAUUUUCAAUGUGCAAAAAUAGAUAUUCCAAUAAACAUCAUCAUAUUAAUAUCACAAUACUCAGGAAUUUUAGGUCCCAAAUAUGGAUCUUCCUUGUUUAUGGAGUGACUGAAAAUGAGAACAGGUUGGUGUGCAGUAGAGAAGGGAGGAUGCACAAUAGAAAACCCUCUAGAAGUUAACUGAUAUAUAUCUAUAUCUAAUCUAUAUCACAUCAAUGUCUAUAUCGAUAUCUAUCUAUAUCUAUCAUCUAUAUCUGUACCAUCUAUAUCUAUAUCUUGAAUGGGGGUUUUCCAGAAACAAGUCAUGUCAGGCUAAUCUGAUUGUUUCUAUUCCAUGCUAACAGACUCAUGUAGAUGAGUAACCCUAGACUUUUGACAGUCUUCAGUGAGAUUCUAAUAAACAACCAAAGAAAACAUUUCCUAGAAGAAACUGUUUAAGGCUGGAGUGAAACUGGUAAGAAAAUUAAAUUUGGUUAGAAAGUGUCAAUUUUUCACUGUCAAAGUGGAGAAGUUAAAGGACAUAGGUAUUCAGUUGCAAAUAGAAAGGAUAAGAGACAGCUGGCUAAAAAAAUGACCCAAGGUGUGGUUGCAUAUGUGGUAUUGAAGUCAGGUUCUUAUGAGUAAUAUCAUGCAAAAGCAUAUAAAUGAAAAUAUAGCUUCUAAAAUAGGUAAAAAUCAAUAAACCCUUAUCUGGAGUACCAUGGCUAUACUCAAGAAAGACUGAGCCUAUUUGAAUUCAGAGAAAAAUAGAAAAUGUGAUUAAGAUCUUAAAAACAUGAUUUACUAAGAUUAACCCAUUUGGCGUGAUUCCUGGAAUCCUCAUAAUCUCUUGCCAUUUUCCUAUUUUUUCUUCAUUUUCCUUACUGGGAUUCCAGUUCUCUUCAUCAUCCACCUUCAGGCAAUUUUCAUCACCUCGAUUUUUUUUCCUUGAGGCUAAUACAGUCUAAAUAAUUUCUCUCCUAUUCUCUCUCUCAGUUCUUGUCUCUUCUGUAUUUGGUUAUUAUAGUCACCCGCAGAUUUUUCCUGAGUAGUUGUAACUAAGCAGAGUUACUGUAAACAGAAGAGAGAGUGAGACGGUCAACACAAGAUGUAGAGACUUAAUCAAAGUAAAAUCUCAGGGCAUGUGAAAUCUCUUGAGGAUUUUUGUAAAUAAAUCACUAUUAGGCAUCUACUAGGGAAUUACCAUGUAAUUGGUAACACAAUUUGUAAAGUUCUUAUAGAAACAAGAAAUAUUCACUCCUCACUUCCACAUUCCCAGUCCCUGCUUACAUGGUAUAUAUUUCUUGCAGAAAAGGGCUUGCCACAUUUUUAAAUGUCAAAGAAAAAAAAAAUUAAAUUCAGCCUGAGGCAGACACCUGGCACAAAAGACUUUGAUUCAAACAAUUUAGCAACUUUAAAAAUAACUGAAAGCAAAGCCAUAUUAUUGAAAGUCUUGAGCAAUCUUAGUGAAAGGCACUUGUUGUCACAAGUUCUACAUAUAACAAUUUUUCCUUAAUGUAGCUAUAUCCUAUCCUUCAACUCUCCACCUGGAGGCUCAUUUCACAGAUAUCUUUGUCAUUCUAAAUAAAGUUCAAUGAUAAGAAUUUUGUGAGAACAGUGGGUGUUUAUAAACAGAAGCUCAGGGAAUAACCUUGAUAAGAGCAUUCUUUUUUCCAUCUCUGAUGUUAUAAGAAUAUUUUUUUACUUCUGCCCCAUUUGAAAAUUUUCUUUUGUAAGUUAAAAAGUCAUUUUUCAAUGAUGACCCACUGCUGGGUCAUCAAAACAACACUAAUGACAAAGUGCCUUUCCAUGGGGAAGAAUAACUAUUCCAGAUAUUAUACAGACAUUAACAUAGUGAAGAAAAUAAGCCUUUUUUUAUCUUCUGUUGAGCAUAAGAGUCUAUGCAGGCACAAUUGAGUGAGACUUUAAAUCUUUAUUACUCUGCUUCUCCUGGUGCUACACAACAGAGAAUCAGUACAGUUGUGGAGUGGUUUGCUUUCUGUGUCUGGGAGCAUAUUCAGAGGGAGCUUUGCACUUUCUGUUCUGAGCAAUGGAAAUAAGACCCCAACACUUCUAGUAGCAUUUCUGUCUUCAGUAAAUGCUGCUAUUUGUCUUUUUAUUUGCUGCUCUGACAAAAAAAAAUGUUGUUUGUUCUGCUAUUCUUGCCUUGCUCUGACAAUUUUAACCUUUAUAACCUGUGCCUUAUAUAGUCCUAAUGACAACAGUAUGUGUAUUCUAUACAGAGAUCAAACUGUAAAAUGUAUUUUUGACAAUUUCUGUAAAAAUGUCAUAUAGAUGUUAGAUAACUUCUGUAAAUCCAUUGCAUUUUUACCAAGGUCAGUGUUUAGUUUCUUGCUAUAACCUCCAAUAAAUUGCAUUAUACCAUCUUCCCUACAUAUUGAUUGUCAUUCCUUCUUUCUUUGUUUUUACUUUACAGUUCAACUCAUGUAAAUAUAUAGUCUUGCAAUGCUAGAGAUAAUUCUGUCUAAUGUGGAAGACAGUUCUAAGUCACACAUGAAUAUGAGGAGUUUUUGACCCUUUAUGGCCUAAGGAUGUCUGCAUCCAUCUCCAACAUCUAUGGGGAGAGGUCAGAAACACAGACUUUUCCCAGGGGUGACAUUCUCACCUUAAGACAAAAGCUGAACUUUAUAGGUUUAGAAUAGCACCCUCAGAAGUGCCUGGGUCCUAUAUCCAAGAGUCAUUCAUGGCGAUACUCUGUAAUCUGAAAUACAAAGACUGGGCUGAGAAUGAUGUAUUAAAAUUGUUCAAACCCUUUAAUGAGGAAGUAACACUAAUGUGUCACUAAUUAGUGACACAUUGGAAGGUUUAAGAAGAUGGUAUUGAGGUGGCAUAAACUCGUCAGCAGGAUCUACAGCUCUUUGCAUUGUCAUACUAUGAAAAAUGGAACCAGGCUCAAUAUUUUACUCAAUAUGCAAGAUACUCAAUGAGAGUAGGGAUAAGAUGUUAAUGGAUAUUCUCUUGACAGUUUUACCCAUAACAUUAUGAAACCACUUGCAAGAAAACCAACGUCUGACUGAAUGUUCUUGAGGGCCUUCUGAGACCAUAGAAUGAGCUACAAAAAAUACAAAAAUCCCAGACCAAAUUUACUUUCUCCAAAAAAAGACACCUUUCUUUAACUUUUUUUGGUGAUUUUUUUUUCUGGUGGUUUUUGUUUGGUUGGUUUGUUUUGUCUGAUUGAGUUGUUUUGGUUUUUUUUUCCUUUUACUGGAUAUUCAUAGCAACAAUCUUACAUAAAGCAGAAACAUUAACCCAAGUUAUACAUUUCUUCACCUGGAAAGAGAAUAAAAAAAUACACAUUUCUUGUGAAUUCUUCCCAUUUUACAAUCCUGAUGGAGGGUUUGUUGUUGUCUGAUGAGUUCUAUAAAGCCUGGGUAAAACUGAAUAUGAACAGAACUUAAUCACCUAGGAAAAUAAGGUUAAAUCCCAUCAACUGCCACUAAUAGCUAGUAAAUAUUGUCAGUAGUUCCUUCGUUGCUCAGAUGUUAAGCAAUUAAUACAGGACUCAUAAGUUAUCUAAAAGUCUCUCCUUCACAGUUUUACUCACAGUAGAACCCUUAGUAUUAUUUGUUCAUUUAUGAUCCCUUUCCCCUUUCCUAUGGAUCAUUUAUAAAAACUACAAAUAAAAGAACUCACAUAAAUGCACAGUGGUUAGCACCUUUGGAUAUUUGAUGCAGGCAACCUUCUAGAAUAUUGAAAUGGAUACUCAAAAUUUAAAACUAAUAAGUGAGGUGCUGAGAAUAGAAUAAUGGUCAAGAUUCUUAUGUCUUCUCCCAUUAUUAACAGUUUCAGCCAAGCUAUAAAGUAUAUGUUUGAGGAACUGAAAGAUGCUUGUAUGGCUGUAUAUUUGUGAAAUACUCUUCCUAAGGGGCAGUGAGACAUUAGUUUGUAAGCUUGUACAAGAAGCUAUUAAUCUUGGACUUAAGUUCAGAACCAUUGUUGUUGAACAACAGCAGGAAAAAAUGGGUUUCUUUAAGACUGCAGUUCUGCAAAUAAAAAAUAUAGGAUUAAUAUCUCAAUAUAUAGCAAGAUUGGUAGGGAUGCAAAGAGACAUCCACAAAAUGGAAGUAAAGAGAGAUAAAAGAACUUUACAAAACUAUACAAGAAAUGGCAUCUCCACACUAAGUAAUUCACAAUAUUCUUUAUCUCCGCAGGGAAGGGGAGAGGGAGAAAACAAGGCUCAGUUAAUCUAUUGCUGACAUUUUGCUUUUCAGAACUAAAAUACUAAGAUUUGGGAACAUGGCAAACUGAUCAUUUUGCUAUAUGUACAGUAUGAGUAUAGUAGACUAUCAAAGGGAUAAAAAUUCUGGCUAAUCAGUAUACACAAUUUUGGACUGUUCAACAACUAUUAUAUGUUAUUUCUAUUUCUAAAGAUACAUAAUUAGCAAAAUUUCAAGUCAGCAACAAUUUUUAAGAUAGUUAUAGCUCUGAAUUAUUCCAUGCUUAGAGUAUUUGCUUUGUUUUUUGGAAAUUAAAUUGCUAUUUCAUGGGUUUUUGCUUGAUUAUUUAUCUUAAGAAAUUUGUCCUUGGUGCAUUGUGCUUUCACAUCAAAUUGAACUCAAGAUACAAGGUUACUCAAUCUUUCUGACAGAAAGAUUUAUGUCCAUACAGAAAAUGCCAAAGUGAAUAUCCAAACUGAAAGUUGCUGCUGAUAGUGAGGAAGGUAAAUUAAUCAUAUUUUUGUAAUGCUGAAAUUAUGGCUUCUUUCUUAAGGGGAUCUUAUUACAAAUAAUCAUCAGCCUCCUCUUUUCAAAAUGCAAACUGACAUUUUUUGGUAGCUAAAUGGUCAAGUCAUAAUCACAAUAUUAUAAACAAACUGAUACAUCAAGAGGAAAGAAACAUUCUAACAAAUCAUACUAAUAUCAGUUAUUAAGGUUCUUAUAAAACUGACCCGUGGAAGAUAAGAAGCAGUUCUCAAAUACUGAAAAGCUGGUGUAAAAAUAAAAAUGCAUAUUUUUAUGAUCUGUGCCAUAGGUCCAUGUUGAAAUAAACAGUUUAUAUUGUUAGCUAGUUUUCUGUCUAGCACUAUAAAAUAUCUAAUUAUCAAAGCCAUAUAAUUAAGUAAAAUCUUAUCAACUGUAAACAUAUCCAGUGUUAAGAACAAAUGACUUGUGAAUUUUAUCUAUGUAUCACAGGAGUAAUAAUUGUACUAUUUUUUUACAAACACCUAUGGCUAAAGGCAUCUUAAAUUUAGCACUAUAAUAAUUUGAGUAAUUAUGUAUUUAGGUAUUGUUGAAGAAUUAGCAGAUUCAUGGUCCUCUAGAUGAGAAACAAUAUGUUUAGGAAAGUGUUGCCUGAAGAGACUGAGUUUGCACCAUGACUAACUGACUUUCUUAACUUGUGGGUUUUAGAUCUGUUAUGGAUGUUGAAACCUAAAUCCUGUGCUAAAACCUUUACCUUUAUGAUGUGUAUUCUGAAUUAAACAAUGAACAAAAACAUUGCCUCUGCUCAUAAUGCUUCAGACCCUGGUGAGAAAGACUCUCUCAAUCUAUCUUAUUUAUGCUUUUGUAUGUUGAAAGGCUGCCACAAGAUUUCUCUUGAGCCUUGUCUUCUCCAGAAUGACCCCAGUUCCCUCAGCUUUUCUUGAUAGAAUGAGUGCUCCAGCCCUCUGAAUGUUUAUGUGGCCCUCUUCUGGACCCAAUCCAGCAGGUCCAUGACUUUUUUGUAUUGAUCUAGUACAUUAAUUAGUGGUCUUUUCAAGAUAAAAGAGCAAAAACCUAUUUGAUGACUCACAAAGAAGUUGUCACCAAAUAUCUGAGAAGGGUACAUUUCAUGCUAUCAUGAAUAUUUUUCAUAAAUAUACAGGCAUAUUCACCUCACUUAUUGCAUCCCAUAGAAUCAAAAUGAUAGUUUCUAACUGUUGAUAUUAAUCUGUCUUUGAAAAAACCCACACCCUUUUGUCUGGCUGCUGCAUGGGUUGCGUUUGUAAAUGUAGCCACUUCAGAAGCAGCAACUUUGGUCAUAACCAAGCCAUUUCUGUCAAAUACUCAGAUUUCCAAGAGCUGUGCAAAUGACCUCAUGUUCAAUAACACACACUUGAGGACUGCUCUCCUAAGACCAUAAAGACCAAGUGUAACACAGUCACCACCUUAAAACCAGAAAGCCUUUAGCAGGAUCUUUAGAACUCAGAUUUAUCUCUUCGAAACAGCAAACUUUCAACUGCUUUGCACAAGUUUCUUAUGUUCAUGGAAGACAAAGGUUUUUAUUUCUUACUCAGCCAUACCAGAGCUACAAGAAGAAAUAACAUGGUAUUUUUAAAUUUUUCAGUAUUUCAAACAGCAUCAUCAUAUUUCAUAAAUUAAAUGCAAUUACGUUCUCAUUCCAUCAAGGUAUUAGGAGGCACAUUCUAAUUUUGUGCUUCUAAAUAAGGAGGCCAAAACCAAGUGCCACACCUAAUGCUCCAUGGGAAUCAUGACAGCUCAGAGAAUGUGAGCCCACACAGUACUUUUGCACCACUUCCUAAAAUGCC
Long non-coding RNA from Cyanistes caeruleus (blue tit), 11590 nucleotides. RefSeq lists it as uncharacterized. The record is from RefSeq and is a predicted model, not a curated record. NCBI's taxonomy places the organism in Eukaryota, Metazoa, Chordata, Aves, Passeriformes, Paridae.